Molecule: unclassified non-coding RNA, 4773 nt
Filed under: Dermacentor andersoni
Lineage: Eukaryota; Metazoa; Arthropoda; Arachnida; Ixodida; Ixodidae
Description: diacylglycerol kinase theta-like
Source: RNAcentral
GCGUUCUCUUUCGCGGCUCUGCUCCGCGGAUCAGGCCCGAGAGAGUGGGGCUCUAGCACACCGGUGUAUUAUCGGCACCGUUGCGCGUGUGUUUUGGGAUGCGAACCGGCCGCCCGCCCUGGGAUUCCUGCCGCGGCCCAAUGACCGAACUCUGACGGCUUCCCCGUGUCGCCGAGCGGGGCGUCGAGAAGACCUCGCGUCCCAUGAGAAGACCGGAGCGUAAGCGCCCCGCAGCAGCAGCACCGAGCGCCGCCGCGGUGGGCCUCUUCGAUCCCGUGGCUGCUCUGCUGCUCCUCCGUCGUCGACCGCACCGAUGCGCGCCGGGCCGGCCUGCCGCUGUGCGCGAUUGAACCGACGCCGCCGCCGGCUCUGAACAAGAUCCUAGCCCUGAGGGCAAACUGUGCGCUACCCCCGGCUUCGCGACGUGACGUGCCUGUUUUGCCUGCAAUUCCCUUUCGCUACACAUACGCGCACAGCCUCGCUGCUGCUUUUCGUUUCCUCGGCCGCCUCCCCACCCCCUCUACUCGGCGUAUCCUCUCCUCCCCCCUUCCCCAAAAUUUCCCGCUCGCGUUGGUGUGUGCGGUGCUCGUAUGACAAGGAUGGCCCGUAGAGAUCGGCCGGCAAGAAGGCCUCCUCGCAAGCCUGCGACGCCGAAACGGCAGCACCAUCCCGGCGUUGCGUUCGGGAGUCGCGCGUCGACCCGUGGAGCGGCCACUGCAGCGGCGGCCUCCGGCGGCCUGCCCGAAGGCGCUAACCCUCGUCCCAAACUCCAGCGCCGCUAAGCCUGUGCGAGCCGCGGUCUGCCGUUGGCCGUCAGCGGUCGCCGCCCGGCGGGACUCGGGCCUCACAGACGACGGCCCUGUGGGCCGUCCGCCGCUACCGGGACUCGAGGGGAACCCACGCUAGCAGAGUGUACGCUUUUAGGCCUGACUGAGAAAAAGAGGGGGAGGAGGAGGCGGCUCUCCGCCGUUUUGUGUUGUUUCUUUCCGCCCCGUCGGAGACCGGUGGCCGCGGGGGCGACGCGCGUGCCCAAGCCUCCCGGCGGCCGCGGUCCUCGCGUCGGCGUGUUCGCCCGGCGGUACCUGCCGCAGAGCACGGCCGGCGGCGCUCAAACGGUGCGGUGACAUGGCAAGCUGGCGUCGGGCCGGGGACUGACGCGUCCCGCCGCCGCCGACAGCCUCCGCCGCCGGGUCGGGUGCGUCGCGUCGUCGUCGUCGGACGCGACAUCGGCGUCGUCCGUCUCCCGCGGGGUUUCAAGACGCCGCUGGGACGCGGCCCUGUCAUCGCCACCGGCUCGCUGAGCGCAAGCGGUGGCGAGCUGCUUUCGGUGCUGCAGAAACAUGGCUUCGUCGGCAGCCAGGCCUAACAUGGGCGUCGGUUCGAGCGAGCCGCAGCAGUGCUCCGAGCCCGAAGAGGAAGCCAGUCCGACGUCGGCCGCUGGCGCUGAGGGCUCCUCCUCCCAGCAGCAGGACGAACAGCAGCAGCAGCAGCAACAACAACAACAGCAGCAGCCGGAGUACGAGACAGGCCACGGCCACUACUUCACCAAGCGGACUUUCCACAAGCCCACGUACUGCCAUCACUGCACCGAUAUGCUCUGGGGACUCAUAGGUCAAGGGUACAUUUGCGAAGUUUGUAAUUUUGUAGUUCACGACAGAUGCCUCAAGACUGUGGUUUCUCCUUGUUCAACUAUUGCAAUCAAUGUAAUCAAAAACCCAGUGCCCCACUGCUGGACGGAAGCAGGUCACCUCAAAAGAAAAUUUUGCAACGUCUGCAGGAAACGAAUCGAGGACAACUGCGCAGUUAGGUGUGAAGUUUGUGAAUACUGUGUGCAUUUGGAGUGCCAAGACUUCAGCGUUGCGGACUGCAAACAAUGUGCUACCUAUGCUCCAAGUAGAAAUAAACCGUCGGUGAUGCAGUUCCACCAUUGGCGAGAAGGCAACUUACCCGCCAAUUCCAAGUGCCAGCUGUGUAAGAAGACCUGCUGGUCGGCCGAGUGUCUGGCCGGUAUGCGCUGCGAGUGGUGUGGCGUUACGGCGCACGCCACGUGCUACCGGACCCUGUCCCAGGAGUGCAACUUCGGCGUCCUGGAGAGCAUCAUGCUUCCUCCGGCGGCCGUCAGCAUUCCGCGCACGGACGUUCCCCUGGAAACCAUCAUCGGAGUGGAGAUGCGCAGGAGAGAGACGCUAGCGCGGGCCACUUACCCCAGCAUAGCAAGAAGCAUAUCGGAGGAAUUCUCAUCGACAGGGGACCUCAAAAGCAAAGAAUUUGAUGAUUAUCCGUCACCAAAAGAAAAAGAUAAAGAUGAAGAAAUAAUCAAAGUAUACGACGGUAACGCCUCAAUGAAGAGAAGGAUGUUCAGGACAAUCACUGUAUCACGCAAUGCAACUAGGGAACAAAUCAUCGGUGCUGCAUUGCGAGCAUUCCAUAUAUCUGGAGAUCCAAAGCACUACUACAUAACCGAUGUGUAUGACCAAAACGAGAAAGAACUGGGCGACUUCAUGCCGGUGCAAAGCCUGACUCGGAGGGAAGGGAAGCGGCCUGCCAUUUUCCUCAGGUAUCGACCUCCCAACCCGGACCAGGGAUACGUCAAGGUCUUCCCCGGAAAGCUCAGGUCUGCGGACAUUUACCGCGUGAUUUCAGUGACAAGUGACACGAGCGUAGAAGAAAUUAUGAUCCAGGCUCUCGAAAAAUUCGGACUGGACUCUUCGGACAUCAACAAGUUUAGGCUAUCCGAAGUCACGCUAGACAAAGGAUCUGUUCAUGAAAGAGUGAUGGACAAUCAAGAAGGUCCUUGGGUGUUGCUUAAAAACAUUGCCAGAGAGUCGAUACGACAGAAAGACCUGACCAGGUUCUACCUCCAGCAAAAAGAGGACUGCUACAGUUCUAGUGUUGCCCUUUUCGUUGGAAACCUUCCUCCAAAUUUAUCCCAGAGGCAGUACGAAAAAAUUUUAGUAGACCUUUUAGGAAAACCUUAUAAAUUCAAGCAAAUAGGCCCCAUUUAUUAUGAGUACGGUUCCCUGAUCAUCACCUACGACAAUGCUGACAUAGCAGUGAAGGCUUUUUACAUGCUGAGGGAGUCGAGCUUCGAAGACAAAAACCUCCUUGUCCUUCUCCUGCCCAACACCAUCCCAGAAAUGAUCCCCGAAGGUGUCAGGCCAUUACUGGUAUUCGUGAACGUGAAAAGCGGUGGAUGCCAGGGCCUGGAACUGAUCACAUCCUUUCGUAAAAUGCUGAACCCUUACCAAGUCUACGACUUGGAGAAUAGCGGACCGUUACCUGGGCUGUACGUGUUUCGACACGUGCGCGACUACAAGAUCUUGGUGUGCGGCGGCGACGGCACCGUCGGCUGGGUGCUCCAGUGCCUGGACAACGUUGGCCAGGACUCCGAGUGCCAGUCCCCGCCGUGCGCCAUCGUGCCGUUGGGCACGGGCAACGACCUGGCGCGAGUACUGCGCUGGGGACCCGGCUACACUGGUGGCGAGGACCCCCUCACUCUGCUCAAGGACGUCAUCGACGCCGAGGAGAUUCGCCUGGACAGGUGGACGGUGGUCUUCCACUUGGAUGACAAGCCGGAUGACAAGCCCGGCUCACUCACCAACAGCUCGGGGUCCACUUCGGAGGACACCACGGCCAUAUUCGUCAUGAACAAUUACUUUGGCAUAGGCAUCGACGCAGACCUUUGCCUCGACUUCCACAACGCCCGAGAAGAGAACCCAAACAAGUUCAACAGCAGACUUCACAACAAGGGCGUGUACGUGAAGAUGGGUCUCCGCAAAAUGGUGAGCAGGAAGACCUGGAAGGAUCUGCACAAGGAAAUCGAUCUUGAAGUGGACGGCAAAACGGUCGAUCUGCCCCCUGUAGAGGGUAUCAUUAUUCUCAACAUUCUCAGUUGGGGUUCCGGUGCUAACCCCUGGGGGCCCGAGAAGGAGGACAUGUUCUCGAAACCGACGCACUACGACGGUAUGCUCGAGGUCGUUGGCGUCACGGGAGUCGUCCACAUGGGCCAGAUUCAGAGCGGGCUGCGCAGCGCCAUCCGCAUCGCGCAGGGGGGACACUUGCGGAUAAAGCUACACACAGAAAUGCCCGUUCAAGUCGACGGCGAGCCUUGGAUCCAGGCGCCUGGCGAAGUCGUCGUGCUCAGAUCGGCCUUGAAGAACCUGCUUAUGGCUUUAGGAUCAACGAGUACGCCACCUGAAUGACUGCAACACUUUUGUAAUACAGGUUCUCAAAGGUGUCCUGGUAAUGAAUUGGUUUCACCACUUACGGCACCAGUGUUGCAGUAAGAGCUCCGUAGCCGUGGCCCAGUGGGUACGACACCUGGCUCGACUGCAGGAAGUGUGUGGUUCAAGCAGACCCUGGGCCAGGCAUCCUGCUUUCCAGACGGGUUUCGCUUGAAAGAAGUUUGUACAGACUGCUAUGAUUGUUGUGCAACAACUUAGACCAACAAAACACCACGCAAAUCUCAGCAAGGAGUCUGGUGGUUCCAUGUUGCUAACUUCCCAUCAGAGAUGACUGGUCACAACUCGCCUCGGCCAUGGAGUGCCCUGCCUGCAGUCCCUUGCAUUGCUGGACCUUUGUGAGCGACUUAUGAUGGGUCGAGAGCAUGGAGUUACACGAGGUCAGCUGAACUGUCCUCAGCUUUCUCUUGUGCAUUCUUCUAUUUUUAAUUUUGUUUCAGCUCUGCAGAACAUUCCACUACUGUGGCUUAUUGUCGUUUGUUGCCCUCGACGGUUUGACUGGGGUGAAAAUAAACAUCUUUAGUUAAAAAAA